RNAcentral lists this ribosomal RNA (325 nucleotides) under Ehrlichia ruminantium (heartwater rickettsia). Its description in RNAcentral is "bacterial SSU rRNA". It matches the Rfam family "Bacterial small subunit ribosomal RNA", at positions 46 to 377 of the family's 1533-position model. Lineage: Bacteria; Pseudomonadati; Pseudomonadota; Alphaproteobacteria; Rickettsiales; Anaplasmataceae. The record is from RNAcentral.
GCUUAACACAUGCAAGUCGAACGGACAGUUAUUUAUAGCUUCGGCUAUGAGUAUCUGUUAGUGGCAGACGGGUGAGUAAUGCGUAGGAAUCUGCCUAGUAGUAUGGAAUAGCUAUUAGAAAUGAUAGGUAAUACUGUAUAAUCCCUGCGGGGGAAAGAUUUAUCGCUAUUAGAUGAGCCUACGUUAGAUUAGCUAGUUGGUAAGGUAAUGGCUUACCAAGGCAAUGAUCUAUAGCUGGUCUGAGAGGACGAUCAGCCACACUGGAACUGAGAUACGGUCCAGACUCCUACGGGAGGCAGCAGUGGGGAAUAUUGGACAAUGGGAA